UGGGGAAUUGUUCGCAAUGGGCGCAAGCCUGACGACGCAACGCCGCGUGGAGGAUGAAGGUCUUCGGAUCGUAAACUCCUGUUGCCCGGGACGAAUGGCUCCGACCUAAUACGUCGGAGUGUGACGGUACCGGGUGAGGAAGCCCCGGCUAACUCUGUGCCAGCAGCCGCGGUAAUACAGAGGGGGCAAGCGUUGUUCGGAAUUACUGGGCGUAAAGGGCGCGUAGGCGGCCCGCUAAGUCGAACGUGAAAUCCCCGGGCUCAACCCGGGAACUGCGUCCGAUACUGGCGGGCUUGAAUCCGGGAGAGGGAUGCGGAAUUCCAGGUGUAGCGGUGAAAUGCGUAGAUAUCUGGAGGAACACCGGUGGCGAAGGCGACAUCCUGGACCAAUUCUGACGCUGAGGAGCGAAAGCCAGGGGAGCAAACGGGAUUAGAUACCCCCGUAGUCCCUGAGCGGGCUGGCAAGGCGCAU
This 471-nucleotide ribosomal RNA is filed under the name uncultured bacterium. Its description in RNAcentral is "bacterial SSU rRNA". It matches the Rfam family "Bacterial small subunit ribosomal RNA", at positions 355 to 825 of the family's 1533-position model. The record is from RNAcentral.